CACGUUUUGAGUGGAUUCACGUGAAAUCCACUGGAUUCCUGUAUCACCCCGCACCCAAUUUUCAGGGGACGCAACCUCGCGCCAACUGUCAAAAUGUUUUUCAAAACAAAAUGCUCUUAUUUCGAUGCAUUUCAAGAGUUUUGUUGUGAUAAGAACACUGGAAUAUAGACUGAAAUACUAUCCAACCAUUAGACUCAUGAUUAUUCAUUUUUUAUUUCAUAUCCUGACAUGGAUCCAAGAUGCUGGUAACUAGGCGGGACGGAUUGUUACACAGAACUGCAGGUUUCUGGAUGGAGACUCAGCGCCAUGUCACAAAUACUUCAGAAGCUUGAAUGAAAGUUACCGAAAGAGCAAUAGACUUUCCAAUCUCUACAAAAUUCAUCUUAACUGUUUUUCAAGGUGAUACUUGAGACUACCAAAGACUUUUCAAGGACAGAAUUCACAAAACAGUUUAUGCCACCAUCUCAUAUCAAAGGAUUGUGCUUGAGUUGAACAGCCUUCAAACAGAAACUGCUUCAACACCUUCAAUGGAUUCAUUCUGAUUCAGUUUACCCUUGCUGUGAUCUGAGCAACUAUUUACAUCCAUUCAACAUUGUAAAUUGUUUAAACUUGAAAAUUCUGUCUUCGUGCAACUCACAUGAAUCUAUUUACUGUGGACUUUGAUGUUGACUCUAUACAGGAAGAAGAGACCAUCUUUAUACAUGCUGGCAUAUCCUUUAAAAAGGAAACAAAUAUUAUAACCAACAUACUACACUGUUAUGUCAUCCAAGGACUCAGCUACUGACUCAAUUUAUAAAUACUUCAAAGAAAAAAUAUCCCUGUCAAUGUAAUUACUGCUGUGCAUAAUAAGACAUUUUUUAAUAUGCGCCCCUUCGAAGAAGAGGGGUAUAUUGCUUUGCACAUGUCGGUCGGUCAGUCGGUACUGUCUACCGUCUGUAAACCAAAGCUUGUCCGAGUGAUAACUCAACAAUUCCUGGACGUAUGGUCAUCAAACUUGACAUGAAGGUUGGGCCAGACCAGUAGAUGACUUUAGGGCUCAUCGGGUCAAAGGUCAAGGUCAAAGUGACCUUGAAUGGUAAAUUAAUUUUAAAGCUUGUCCGAGUGAUAACUCAACAAUGCCUAGACCUUUCGUCAUCUCGUCAUCAAACUUGAUAUGGAAGUUGGGCCUCACCAGUAGAUGACCCCUAUUGGUUUUGGGGAUCAUCGAGCCAAAGAUCAAGGUCACAGUGACGUUGAAUGGUAAAAGGUUGUCCAAGUGAUAAAUCAACAAUGCCUGCCCCCAUGGCCCUCAAACUUGACUCGGAGGUUGGGCCUUACCAGCAGAUGACCCCUAUUGAUUUUAGGGGUCAAAGGUCAAGGUCAAAGUGAUCUUGAAAGCAAACUCGACAAUUCCUGGACCAAUCAUGCCAUUCAGUCUGAAUGGUCAUCAAACUUGACAUAAAGGUUGGGCCUGACCAGUAGAUGACCCCUCUUGACUUUGAGGCUCAUCAAGCCAAGGUCAAGGUCACAAUAAUCUUUAAUGCAAAAAAGAUAACAAAUCCUCUCUCAGGGAUAUCUCAACAAUGCCUGAACCUAUGAUCAUCAAACUUGACAUGGAAGUUGGUCCUGACAAGGAGAUGACGCUUAUUGAUUUUAGGAGUCAUUGGGUCAAAGGUCAAGUUCACAGUGACCUUGAAUGCGAAAAUGUUUCGAGUGAUAACUUGACAAUGCCUGUACCCAUGGCCCUCAAACCUGACUUGGAGUUGUGUCUGGCCUGUAGAUGAGUCCCUUUCAUUUUAGGGGUCAUCGGGUCAAACGUCAAGGUCACAAUGACAUUGAUUGAAAAAAGCUUGUCUGUGUGAUAACAUGUCAAUGCCUGAACCCAUGUCCCUCAAACUUGACAUUUAGAUUUUUGUAGACCAGCUGAUGACUCAUAUGGAUUUUGAGGUCAUAGAGUCAAAGGUCAUGGUCAUAACACACUCUAUCCUCACACUUUGAAUGGUCAUAAUCUUAAAACUGCCUCAACGGCAUCCAAUGUCAGUGACUAAUCAGCUGUCAUUUCGGUCCAUGCUUAUUUCAUUCAAUUGUUCAUAUAAUCCUGACAACAUGGCGCUCAGGUGGGGGCAUAAUGUUUGACAAACAUCUCUUGUUAAUACUUGGCUCAUUUCUUACAUGUAGCUGUAACAUUUUGGGCAACUUCUCAAUUAUUUUGUUUAAGACAUUUUUCAUCCAGCUCAUCUAAGCCUAAGUUAGUGUUCAUGUUAACUUUUAUGACUGCCUGUUUAUUGUACUUUUUAUAAAUUAUUUUUAAUGACUUUUUCAAGAACCAUUUGGCUAAGUAUGUCUCCUCCUGAAAUAGACUAAUUAUGCCCCCACAAAGUGGCGGCAUAUAGGGUUGCCCUUGUCCGUACGUACGUCUGUCUGUCUGUACGUACGUACGUCCCGAAGACUGUUUCCGAUCUAAUUCUUGAAAACCGUUUGUCCAAUCCUCACCAAACUUUAAACACAUGUUUGUGACCAUAAUAUCUUGAUCAAGUUCGAUAGUCAUGGAAAUCGCUUUAGUCAUUUAGGAGUUACGGCCCUUUUUUGCCAAAAAUACUUCAAAAAUAUAUGUUUCCAAUCUAAUUCUUGAAAAGUAUGUGUCCAAUCCUCACCAAACUUUACAUACAUGAUUGUGACCAUAAUAUCUUGAUCAAGUUCGAUAGCCAUGGAAAUCGCUUUUGUCAUUUAGGAGUUACGGCCCUUUAUUUGCAAAAAAAGACUUGAAAAAUACGUCCCGAAGAUUGUUUCCGAUCUAAUUCUUGAAAACUGUUUGUCCAAUCCUCACCAAACUUUUAACACAUGUUUGUGACCAUAAUACCUUGAUCAAGUUCGAUAGCCAUGGAAAUCGCUUUAAUCAUUUAGGAGUUAGGGCCCUUUAUUUCCCAACAAUACUUAAAAAAUAUCUUAUCCGAUCUAAUUUUUGAAAAGGAUUUGCCCUUGUGCAGAUUAUCCUGAAUAAUCAUUAUGGCUUAUUUUCUGUGACAAAAAAUCGAAGUGGGGGCAUCCGUGUCCUAUGGACACAUUUCUAGUUUUUUUAGCUGUAGUUGUCUGUCUGUCCGUCUGUAACAAAUUGUGUCUGCUCCAUGUCUCUUUAACCUUUUGAAGGAUUUGAUAUAACUUCCCACAAAUGUACAUCAUAUUGAGAGGAAGGGUUUAUUAUUAUAACUGUUGAGCAGUUUUUGAACUUGACUGUAUUAUAUCUUGCAUUUACCUCAAGCUGUUAAGUGAACAAUAUAACAUUGACCAAUACAAGGAACUAAACCUUCUAGGUCACCAGUUUGGAAUAAAGUAAUACUUAAAGUUCAUAUUUCCAUAAGAAUCUGCUCAUAUACAGUUUAAAUAGCUUAUACAAGUAUAUCAUUUUAACAUAACAUCAGAUCCUCCACUGUUUUAUGUUUGCAACAUUUUUUUUUAAACUUUGAUUUAUAUAUCAUGACUUUUAUGAACAAAUACCAAACAGCAUCUCACAGAUCUAUACUCAUUUGGGCAGAAUUUUGUAAAUCCAAGCAUUGUCAAUUGAUAUUCAAUGCUUUUUGGCAAAUUGGGGCAUUUUCUGUCACAUUAAAAUCAAUAUUAACAAUAAAUCUCCAACUUCAAUAUUCUUAUAUUUUUGUGCCCAUUCUUUGCCAAUUAUUUGUUUGUCUAUUGAUAUACAUGUAUUUUUAUUCAUACUCUUUUUCAAAAUAACGAAUUAAUAAAAUGUUUGUUACAUUUUAUUUGUUCAUAACUUAUUUAAUAUAACAAAAA
Mya arenaria is the source of this 3768-nucleotide long non-coding RNA. RefSeq lists it as uncharacterized. The record is from RefSeq and is a predicted model, not a curated record. The transcript is spliced from 3 exons. NCBI's taxonomy places the organism in Eukaryota, Metazoa, Mollusca, Bivalvia, Myida, Myidae.